RNAcentral lists this unclassified non-coding RNA (393 nucleotides) under Hevea brasiliensis (rubber tree). The record is from RNAcentral. Lineage: Eukaryota; Viridiplantae; Streptophyta; Magnoliopsida; Malpighiales; Euphorbiaceae.
GGGCGGAUCCCAACUGAUCUCUAUUUCAUCCAUACCUUUUGACAAAUUAUUAGCACUAAAAUUCUCCACCUCAUCAGUACAGUAGUGGAUUUCAUUAAUCACUUUAAAUGGUAAUGACUGGUCAAGAUGCAGAAUUGCACUAUUUCUAGCAUUGCAAUUAUCUGCUUCUUUGGCUUGGAUGACAAAUUUUCUUGUAAUUGGAUUGAUACUGGUGACAUCAUAAGUUCCGGUAGGUACCUUAAAGUUAAGCUUUCCUGUGGAGUUGUUGCAGUAGAAAUUCAAGUACAUAGGAUCACCACAAUUUGAUCCAGUGCUUAGGGGAUAAGGAAUUAAGUUCGUGCCACAAGCUUCACAAUUUCUAGACGUUGAUUCAAUAUCGGACCUCGCUACACG